RNAcentral lists this ribosomal RNA (394 nucleotides) under uncultured bacterium. Its description in RNAcentral is "partial 16S ribosomal RNA". It matches the Rfam family "Bacterial small subunit ribosomal RNA", at positions 338 to 730 of the family's 1533-position model. The record is from RNAcentral.
CCUACGGGUGGCAGCAGUGAGGAAUAUUGGUCAAUGGGCGCGAGCCUGAACCAGCCAAGUCGCGUGAGGGAAGACGGUCCUAUGGAUUGUAAACCUCUUUUGUCGGGGAGCAAAAGACGCCACGUGUGGUGUUCUGAGAGUACCCUAAGAAUAAGCAUCGGCUAACUCCGUGCCAGCAGCCGCGGUAAUACGGAGGAUCCGAGCGUUAUCCGGAUUUAUUGGGUUUAAAGGGUGCGCAGGCGGAAGAUAAAGUCAGCGGUAAAAUUGAGAGGCUCAACCUGUUCGAGCCUUUGAUACUGGUGGUCUUGAGUGUGCGUGAGGUAUGCGGAAUGCGUGGUGUAGCGGUGAAAUGCAUAGAGAUCACGCAGAACUCCGAUUGCGAAGGCAGCAUACC